Kogia breviceps (pygmy sperm whale) is the source of this 915-nucleotide non-coding RNA. NCBI's taxonomy places the organism in Eukaryota, Metazoa, Chordata, Mammalia, Artiodactyla, Physeteridae. The record is from RefSeq and is a predicted model, not a curated record.
UCAGCCUUCCCGCCCAGCUCCCGGCCGUUUCCGGGUCGGCCCCUACCCCGGCCAGACACACCUCCAGUCUCAGCGUUUGGGUGCGUUUGAUUCGGCUGGUGUCCGGGGAGCCGGGCUGCUUCCUCGGGGCUUCAAGUUAAAUGUUUCGGACAACUCCAGCAGGUCAAGGAAUACUUCCCUGGGUCUCUUCAGAUGGAAAAAGAGAUUCCUGGUCCCUGAAGAGCUGUUAUAAAGUGAGCAGGGCCUCACUAAGAUCAAUGGAAUCCUCAUCUGGAACUCACCUACUCACAGCAGUGGUGAUAGCGGUACUCCUGCCUCAUCACUGUGUCAUGAAUUUUGAAACAAAAACAACAGAAACAGAGUGUCGUGGGUCUUAAUUUCUGGCGAUUGAAAGUCUAGAGAAGCACAGAAAAACUUCUUUCUGGAAUCCUCUGAUGACCACAAGAGUCAAAGAAGUUUAAGAUCUAAUAUAGAUAGCAACCUGAUAUUUGAAUCACCUGAGGGUUAAUAAAUGUUCUUUGAUCUGCAAAUAAAGGGGUCAUGAAGGUUUUGUUAAAAUAGUAUUGAUGCUAGGCUCAUCCUCAGAACAACUGAAAUAAUUUCUGGAGUGAUGGUAUUUCUUACAAUACCUAAGGUUUUCCAAUGGGAAAGCAAUGUUGAGAAUUAUUUAAGUAAAUAUUGCUUUUUAAGCUCUAAUAUACAGGUAAAUCUCUUGGAGAUCAGGGGUUCAACAGUAGGAAAUUAUGAUUCAAGAAGUUUGGGAGGGACUGAUGAAAUUUUAUUUUAUUUUAUAAAUUUAUUUAUUUAUUUUUGGCUGCGUUGGGUCUUCAUUGCUGCAUGAGGGCUUUCUCUAGUUGUGGCGAGCAGGGGCUACUCUGUUGUGGUGCCGGCUUCUCCUUGUGGUGGCUUCUCUUG